Molecule: long non-coding RNA, 222 nt
Filed under: Gossypium barbadense (sea-island cotton)
Lineage: Eukaryota; Viridiplantae; Streptophyta; Magnoliopsida; Malvales; Malvaceae
Description: long non-coding RNA (GBAR_LNC007457)
Source: RNAcentral
AACUUUCCAUGUAUCCGAAUUAUAUUCUGAUGUGUUCAACGGGUAAAGUUCUACUCAAAUGGAGGAAUACUCAAGAUGAAAGGGACGUAUUGGUAAGUGUUGUGAAAUGGAUACUUUGAACAGGUAUGUACUUAACCCUCGGGUUGAAAACUCGAUAUAACAACAAUAUGGUAAAAUGAUAAAUGAAAAUGUGAUAUGAAUGUCUUGGUGAUGAUUAUGCAA